This 253-nucleotide ribosomal RNA is filed under the name uncultured bacterium. RNAcentral's name for it is "partial 16S ribosomal RNA". It matches the Rfam family "Bacterial small subunit ribosomal RNA", at positions 524 to 776 of the family's 1533-position model. The record is from RNAcentral.
UACGUAGGGUGCGAGCGUUAAUCGGAAUUACUGGGCGUAAAGCGUGCGCAGGCGGCGGCUCAAGUCAGGUGUGAAAUCCCCGGGCUUAACCUGGGAAUUGCGCUUGAAACUAGGCUGCUUGAGUGUGGCAGAGGGGGGUGGAAUUCCACGUGUAGCAGUGAAAUGCGUAGAGAUGUGGAGGAACACCGGUGGCGAAGGCAGCCCCCUGGGUCAACACUGACGCUCAUGCACGAAAGCGUGGGGAGCAAACAGG